This 71-nucleotide transfer RNA is filed under the name Chloroflexota bacterium. RNAcentral's name for it is "Chloroflexi bacterium (wastewater metagenome) tRNA-Gly". It matches the Rfam family "tRNA". From Rfam's summary of the family: Transfer RNA (tRNA) molecules are approximately 80 nucleotides in length. Their secondary structure includes four short double-helical elements and three loops (D, anti-codon, and T loops). Further hydrogen bonds mediate the characteristic L-shaped molecular structure. tRNAs have two regions of fundamental functional importance: the anti-codon, which is responsible for specific mRNA codon recognition, and the 3' end, to which the tRNAs corresponding amino acid is attached (by aminoacyl-tRNA synthetases). tRNAs cope with the degeneracy of the genetic code in two manners: having more than one tRNA (with a specific anti-codon) for a particular amino acid; and 'wobble' base-pairing, i.e. permitting non-standard base-pairing at the 3rd anti-codon position. RNAcentral also lists the same sequence under 1 other name. The record is from RNAcentral. Lineage: Bacteria; Bacillati; Chloroflexota.
GCGGGCAUGGUGAAAAGGUAUCACUCCUGCCUUCCAAGCAGACGGUGCGGGUUCGAUUCCCGCUGCCCGCU